AACGAACGCUUGCGGCAUGCUUAAACAUGCAAGUCGAACGAGAAAGUGGCUUCGGCCAUGAGUAGAGUGGCGCACGGGUGAGUAACACGUAGCUAACGUCCCUCCUCGCUGGGGAUAACUCAGGGAAACCUGGGCUAAUACCGAAUGAUCUGACAUGGUCUCUGGACUAUGGCGGUAAAGCCUUCGGGCGCGAGGAGAUCGGGUUGCGUCCCAUUAGCUAGUUGGUAGGGUAAUGGCCUACCAAGGCUACGAUGGGUAGCUGGUCUGAGAGGAUGAUCAGCCACACUGGAACUGAAACACGGUCCAGACUCCCACGGGAGGCAGCAGUUGGGAAUAUUGGACAAUGGGGGGAAACCCUGAUCCAGCAAUGCCGCGUGAAUGAUGAAGGCCUUCGGGUCGUAAAGUUACUUUUAGUCAGGGAAAGAAGGGAAACUUAGACUGUACCUGCAGAAAAAGACACCGGCCUAAACUCCCGUGCCAGCAGCCGC
Molecule: ribosomal RNA, 488 nt
Filed under: uncultured bacterium
Lineage: Bacteria
Description: bacterial SSU rRNA
Rfam family: Bacterial small subunit ribosomal RNA
Source: RNAcentral